This 176-nucleotide ribosomal RNA is filed under the name uncultured bacterium. RNAcentral's name for it is "partial 16S ribosomal RNA". It matches the Rfam family "Bacterial small subunit ribosomal RNA", at positions 1326 to 1500 of the family's 1533-position model. The record is from RNAcentral.
CUGGAAUUGCUAGUAAUGGCAGGUCAGCAUACUGCCGUGAAUACGUUCCCGGGCCCUUGUACACACCGCCCGUCACACCAUGAGAGUUGGAAAUACCCGAAGCCUGUGAGCUAACAGUAAUGAGGCAGCAGUCGAAGGUAGAGCCAACGAUUGGGGUGAAGUCGUAACAAGGUAGC